GGGGGGGGGGGGGUUAGGUGCAUAUGCACCUAACCCCUUAACCAGCUCAAAAUAACAAUAAGCACAUAUAUACCCGCGGUCCCUCCUAGACCAAUGCCAAAGACCCCAUUGUUACUCAACUUAAAAAACCUUAAUGGCCAGCCUCCGGAAAACCCACCCAAUGCUAAAAAUUGCCCCCCCCCCCCCCCCAACUUCCUUAGACGGGGGGGGAGGCAAGGAGGGUGUUGUUAACAGUUUUAGUCGUGGGAGGGGAGCCUCCGUAGGCUUGCCAUUAAG
RNAcentral lists this ribosomal RNA (276 nucleotides) under Brama japonica. RNAcentral describes it as "partial 12S rRNA". Lineage: Eukaryota; Metazoa; Chordata; Actinopteri; Scombriformes; Bramidae. The record is from RNAcentral.